GCUGACACAUCCCGGCCAAUCUCCAGCAGACCCUCCCUCCCAGACCCUCCUACUUCCUGGACAGCAUCCAUGUUGAAGGCAGCUUCAACAUGGAUGCUGUCCAGGAAGUAGGAGGGGCUGGGAGGGAGGGUCUGCUGGAGAUUGGCCGGGAUGUGUCAG
RNAcentral lists this microRNA precursor (159 nucleotides) under Pelobates cultripes (western spadefoot toad). Lineage: Eukaryota; Metazoa; Chordata; Amphibia; Anura; Pelobatidae. The record is from RNAcentral.